RNAcentral lists this ribosomal RNA (2020 nucleotides) under Triticum aestivum (bread wheat). RNAcentral describes it as "partial small subunit ribosomal RNA". Lineage: Eukaryota; Viridiplantae; Streptophyta; Magnoliopsida; Poales; Poaceae. The record is from RNAcentral.
AUCGAAAACAAACCCAAACCUUUUCGAGCCGAUCGCCUCGAAAGAGCAAACCGCCCGUGCCUCGUAACCUAGGAACUCCGUCGAUCUGAAACCCAAGGCCGCAACAGCCAGAGCUUCGUCCUCCAAGAAGCCACGAAGGAACGAGUGUGAAUGUUCUAAUGAUGUCAAAAGCCGGCAAGAAGUCUAGUAGUAGUAAUUCCAUGUACGAAGCUCCCCUCGGUUACAAGAUUGAGGACGUUCGCCCUGCCGGAGGAAUCAAGAAGUUCCAAUCUGCUGCCUACUCCAACUGCGCCCGCAAGCCCUCCUGAUAUUCCCUUCGCAUGCCUUUCAACGUAGCAUAGGAUUCUUUACUGCAAUUUCCCUUUCCUUUUGUCCAAUAAACCUUUUGUCCAAUAAAUCUCCCUUGGCUGGCUGCUUCCUCCGCUACUUGGCUUGUCCUCUCCGAUCUCCUCUGUCCUCUAUCAUCCUCCCUUCUUCCUCGCGACACUUGAUCAGAUGGAAAUGUCUUUGGCUGACUGCUGGGCCCCUGCCCCCGCCUCCCCUAUUGGGUUUGAGGGCUACGAGAAGCGCCUCGAGAUAACUUUCUCCCACGCGCCUGUCUUUGUGGACCCGUGCGGCCGUGGCCUUCGCGCCCUCUCUCGACACCAGAUCGACUCCUUCCUCGAUCUUGCACGGUGCACCAUUGUGUCCCAGCUCUCGAACAAGCAGUUUGAUUCUUAUGUGCUCUCGGAGUCGAGCCUCUUUGUGUACUCCCACAAGGUUGUCAUCAAAACCUGUGGAACAACAAAGCUCCUGCUGUCGAUUCCCCGCAUCCUUGAGCUUGCUGCGGAGCUGUCGCUGCCACUUCUUUCAGCCAAGUAUUCCCGCGGGACGUUCAUCUUCCCCGGCGCGCAGCCGGCGCCGCACCGCAGCUUCUCGGAGGAGGUGUCCGUGCUGAACGGCUUCUUUGGUGGCCUCAAGUCAGGUGGCAAUGCAUAUGUGAUGGGUGAUGCGUUCAGGCCCAAGAAGAUGUGGCACGUCUACUACGCCACGGAGGAGCCUGAGCAGCCCAUGGUGACGCUCGAGAUGUGCAUGACUCGGCUGGACGCCAGGAAGGCCGCGGUGUUCUUCAAGAACUCUGCCGACGGCGGCUGCUCCUCGGCCAAGGAGAUGACCAAGGUCUCUGGCAUCUCUGCUAUCAUCCCCGAGAUGGAGAUCUGUGACUUCGACUUCGACCCGUGCGGGUACUCGAUGAACGGCGUCUCCGGCCCUGCAGCCUCCACCAUCCACGUCACUCCUGAGGAGGGCUUCAGCUACGCGAGCUAUGAAGCGAUGAACUUCAACCCUGGCUCCCUGGUUUACAGUGACCUGAUCAAGAGGGUGCUGUCAUGCUUCCGCCCGUCAGACUUCUCCGUCGCCGUCACCAUCUUCGGUGGCCAAGGCUUCGCCAAAUCAUGGGCGGCCGGUGCGGAGGUCUGCUCCUACCUGUGCGACGAUCUCGUCGAGCAGGAGCUUCCGGGCGGUGGCCUGCUCAUGUACCAGAGCUUCAGUGCAGUUGCCCCUGGCGCCGUGUCCCCGAGGUCGACCCUGGAUGAUGGCUGGAGCAGCGACGGGAUGGAGAUGGCCGCGCAGGGCGAGGAGGCGUGCGUCUGGGGAGUGGAGAAGAAGGUGACCGAGAAAGGUGUCGCUGCCUGAGAGAAAUCUGCGGUUCCAGAGACGUCUGAAGUCUCUGAGAUGGUGUCCUGCUAUAGUAGUUUCGGUUAAGCAGCUGGCCGGGUGAUCGGCAAAGCGUACUGUAUCCCGUGUUACUGCUUUUAUUAUUUUUCGGUUGUUAUUCCUGCCGAAUAAGUGCUCUAGAUGGUCUGCUGCGUCUGCCAUAUAGUGAGCAAAAGAGUCUAUUCUGGGGAGAAUGUACUAAAUAUUUAUGUCUGUCGCCAAUGCUCUUGUGGGGAGGACGAUAUUGUAACUUACUGCUACCUCGUUCAUAAUAUGAGAGUGUUUUUGACACUAUGUUCAAUCAAAUGUUGGAGUUCUCCGUUAA